Molecule: ribosomal RNA, 497 nt
Filed under: uncultured bacterium
Lineage: Bacteria
Description: partial 16S ribosomal RNA
Rfam family: Bacterial small subunit ribosomal RNA
Source: RNAcentral
GAUGAACGCUGGCGGCGUGCCUAAUACAUGCAAGUCGAGCGAACAGAUGAGGAGCUUGCUCCUCUGACGUUAGCGGCGGACGGGUGAGUAACACGUGGAUAACCUACCUAUAAGACUGGGAUAACUUCGGGAGACCGGAGCUAAUACCGGAUAAUAUAUUGAACCGCAUGGUUCAAUAGUGAAAGACGGUUUUGCUGUCACUUAUAGAUGGAUCCGCGCCGCAUUAGCUAGUUGGUAAGGUAACGGCUUACCAAGGCGACGAUGCGUAGCCGACCUGAGAGGGUGAUCGGCCACACUGGAACUGAGACACGGUCCAGACUCCUACGGGAGGCAGCAGUAGGGAAUCUUCCGCAAUGGGCGAAAGCCUGACGGAGCAACGCCGCGUGAGUGAUGAAGGUCUUCGGAUCGUAAAACUCUGUUAUUAGGGAAGAACAAAUGUGUAAGUAACUAUGCACGUCUUGACGGUACCUAAUCAGAAAGCCACGGCUAACUACGUG